Molecule: long non-coding RNA, 1127 nt
Filed under: Solanum tuberosum (potato)
Lineage: Eukaryota; Viridiplantae; Streptophyta; Magnoliopsida; Solanales; Solanaceae
Description: long non-coding RNA (STUB_LNC007262)
Source: RNAcentral
CCUGUACAAUAUUCAAGAGGUUGUGCAAUAUACAAUGCCACUCUGAACCGCAUUACCCACUUUAUUGGUUGUGUGUCCCCUGUGAUAAGCUCUCAAAAAUAAGAACUAUUAUAUGAAUCAUUAUCGAAGAAAUAUGUUAUCUUUCUAAGUAAAUUCAUGAUUUUUUAGUCUUCCUUAAAGCAGUUAAAUCAAAUAGGGAGCCAAUAUCAUAUAAUCUCAUUUUUUACUUUCUCAUAGUUACUCUCUAGGUAAAGUAAGUUGAUGGUCAGUAUAAUGUCGUAGACUCUGUAUAAUGAACUAUGUGUAUGGACUUGCUAGCAAACACUCACAAUGUCAUUUCUGAUAAGCAACUAUAUCUAAGAACAAAAUUAGAAAUCUAAGCUUUGUUUGGAAAAUCUCUGUAAAAUGGAACAAUGCAGGAACCCAAGGCUUUGUUUGGGGAAUAUCAGAACAAGAUUGCAGAUUGAAUCUGAUCUUGCUUUCUUGUUAGAAAUUAGAAUUUAUAGAUCAAAUUGUAGUCUCAUCCAGCUUGUAUUUAUCAGUUCAACCAAAAUCACUUCAACAAAAUUAGUUUUGCAAUUCUAGUAUUCAAUAUUUAUAUCACUAUAGCAUAUCAUCAGGACACGAACAAAUAGAGAAAGUGAAGAAAAUAAAAACAAUUAAAUAACCAGUAUCUCGCAACUGGCAAACGAACUAAAUCCUAAUUAGUUUCACUACAAUUUGCUUCCUUCGCCACUUUGGUGUGAAAAAAUAAAAUAAGCAGCUAGGAAAGGCAUCCUAGUACAAUCACACAAAGUUAAAGUAGAUUAAACAUAAAGAAAAUAACAUGACAUAUGGACCUUUGGGUUGCUCAUUCUCACUUUAAACGAAAAUAAAAACACAUCAGGAAACAAGAGUUUUUUGGCACAAAACAUCACUAACGUAUAAUUUCAUAAUCUUUCUGAUAAUUUUCUGUAAUUUAUUCACCUUAUAGAGUAGAUCUGACAUCGUCCACACCAACAUUGAUUUCAAACUAUCAAGAAAAGGAAUGGUUUCAUCCUUGACACUUCUUGUUGAACUUUGAAAUUGUGAAAAGCCGCACAAUUUUAUACAAAUAAAGUCCUCUCACCAAGUUUACCAUAUUUACA